AUGAAGUCGGAAUUGCUAGUAAUCGCGGAUCAGCAUGCCGCGGUGAAUACGUUCCCGGGCCUUGUACACACCGCCCGUCACACCAUGAGAGCCGGUAAUACCCGAAGUCAGUAGCCUAACCGCAAGGAGGGCGCUGCCGAAGGUAGGAUUGGCGAUUGGGGUGAAGUCGUAACAAGGUAAC
Molecule: ribosomal RNA, 181 nt
Filed under: uncultured bacterium
Lineage: Bacteria
Description: partial 16S ribosomal RNA
Rfam family: Bacterial small subunit ribosomal RNA
Source: RNAcentral